RNAcentral lists this ribosomal RNA (791 nucleotides) under Torulaspora delbrueckii. RNAcentral's name for it is "LSU rRNA". The stretch from base 101 to 791 matches the Rfam family "Eukaryotic large subunit ribosomal RNA", at positions 1 to 706 of the family's 3401-position model. Lineage: Eukaryota; Fungi; Ascomycota; Saccharomycetes; Saccharomycetales; Saccharomycetaceae. The record is from RNAcentral.
UGUGUGUUGGCUCGGGCGCUUUAAAGACUUUGUCGUAAACGAUUUAUCGUUUGUUUGAGCUUUUCGCAUACGCAAUCCGGCGAACAAUACUCUCAAAGUUUGACCUCAAAUCAGGUAGGAAUACCCGCUGAACUUAAGCAUAUCAAUAAGCGGAGGAAAAGAAACCAACCGGGAUUGCCUUAGUAACGGCGAGUGAAGCGGCAAAAGCUCAAAUUUGAAAUCUGGUACCUUCGGUGCCCGAGUUGUAAUUUGUAGAAGGUAACUUUGGGGCUGGUCCUUGUCUAUGUUCCUUGGAACAGGACGUCAUAGAGGGUGAGAAUCCCGUGUGGCGAGGAUCCCAGUUCUUUGUAAAGUGCUUUCGAAGAGUCGAGUUGUUUGGGAAUGCAGCUCUAAGUGGGUGGUAAAUUCCAUCUAAAGCUAAAUAUUGGCGAGAGACCGAUAGCGAACAAGUACAGUGAUGGAAAGAUGAAAAGAACUUUGAAAAGAGAGUGAAAAAGUACGUGAAAUUGUUGAAAGGGAAGGGCAUUUGAUCAGACAUGGUGUUUUGCGCCCUCUGCUCCUUGUGGGUGGGGGAAUCUCGCAGCUCACUGGGCCAGCAUCAGUUUUGGCGGCAGGAUAAAUCUGCAGGAAUGUAGCUUGCCUCGGUAAGUGUUAUAUCCUGUAGAAAUACUGCCAGCUGGGACUGAGGACUGCGACUUUACGUCAAGGAUGCUGGCAUAAUGGUUAUAUGCCGCCCGUCUUGAAACACGGACCAAGGAGUCUAACGUCUAUGCGAGUGUUUGGGUGUAAAA